AUUUAAAUAGUUUAUUUAAAAUUUUGAUUUGUGGAAUCAAAGAUGUAUAUAUUAUACUUUAAAUU
Molecule: transfer RNA, 65 nt
Filed under: Nomada flava
Lineage: Eukaryota; Metazoa; Arthropoda; Insecta; Hymenoptera; Apidae
Description: tRNA-His
Source: RNAcentral